CUAAUACAUGCAAGUCGAGCGAAUGGAUUAAGAGCUUGCUCUUAUGAAGUUAGCGGCGGACGGGUGAGUAACACGUGGGUAACCUGCCCAUAAGACUGGGAUAACUCCGGGAAACCGGGGCUAAUACCGGAUAACAUUUUGAACCGCAUGGUUCGAAAUUGAAAGGCGGCUUCGGCUGUCACUUAUGGAUGGACCCGCGUCGCAUUAGCUAGUUGGUGAGGUAACGGCUCACCAAGGCAACGAUGCGUAGCCGACCUGAGAGGGUGAUCGGCCACACUGGGACUGAGACACGGCCCAGACUCCUACGGGAGGCAGCAGUAGGGAAUCUUCCGCAAUGGACGAAAGUCUGACGGAGCAACGCCGCGUGAGUGAUGAAGGCUUUCGGGUCGUAAAACUCUGUUGUUAGGGAAGAACAAGUGCUAGUUGAAUAAGCUGGCACCUUGACGGUACCUAACCAGAAAGCCACGGCUAACUACGUGCCAGCAGCCGCGGUAAUACGUAGGUGGCAAGCGUUAUCCGGAAUUAUUGGGCGUAAAGCGCGCGCAGGUGGUUUCUUAAGUCUGAUGUGAAAGCCCACGGCUCAACCGUGGAGGGUCAUUGGAAACUGGGAGACUUGAGUGCAGAAGAGGAAAGUGGAAUUCCAUGUGUAGCGGUGAAAUGCGUAGAGAUAUGGAGGAACACCAGUGGCGAAGGCGACUUUCUGGUCUGUAACUGACACUGAGGCGCGAAAGCGUGGGGAGCAAACAGGAUUAGAUAC
RNAcentral lists this ribosomal RNA (757 nucleotides) under Bacillus cereus. RNAcentral describes it as "bacterial SSU rRNA". It matches the Rfam family "Bacterial small subunit ribosomal RNA", at positions 48 to 785 of the family's 1533-position model. The record is from RNAcentral. Lineage: Bacteria; Bacillati; Bacillota; Bacilli; Caryophanales; Bacillaceae.